RNAcentral lists this ribosomal RNA (478 nucleotides) under uncultured bacterium. RNAcentral describes it as "partial 16S ribosomal RNA". It matches the Rfam family "Bacterial small subunit ribosomal RNA", at positions 28 to 523 of the family's 1533-position model. The record is from RNAcentral.
GACGAACGCUGGCGGCGUGCUUAACACAUGCAAGUCGAACGGUAAGGCCCUUCGGGGUACACGAGUGGCGAACGGGUGAGUAACACGUGGGUGAUCUGCCCUGCACUUCGGGAUAAGCCUGGGAAACUGGGUCUAAUACCGGAUAGGACCACUGCCUGCAUGGGUGGUGGUGGAAAGCUUUUGCGGUGUGGGAUGGGCCCGCGGCCUAUCAGUUUGUUGGUGGGGUGAUGGCCUACCAAGGCGACGACGGGUAGUCGGCCUGAGGGGGUGACCGGCCACACUGGGACUGAGAUACGGCCCAGACUCCUACGGGAGGCAGCAGUGGGGAAUAUUGCACAAUGGGCGCAAGCCUGAUGCAGCGACGCCGCGUGAGGGAUGACGGCCUUCGGGUUGUAAACCUCUUUCAGCACCGACGAAGCGCAAGUGACGGUAGGUGCAGAAGAAGGACCGGCCAACUACGUGCCAGCCGCCGCGGUAA